GCAAGACUCUGUCUCAAAAAUAAAUAAAUAAAUAAAUAAAACAGAAGUUGUCCUCCUGAGGGGAUGGAAAGAGAGACUGAGGCAGUUAACUGGGCCUUCCUUCCUCUGGGCCACAGGCCUGGCCUCUGUUACAUACCUGGAGCCCAACAGGCAAGGAUAAAGCAGUUUGCUUAAGAAACUGCAGGAGAACAAGCUGGGACAACACACAUUCGUUCUCCUUAGGGUGACGGAGGGAGUGGUUUCAGAGGCACAGUCUGGCAGAGCCUACGUGAGCAUUUUCUUGCCAAGAUCACUCCUGCUUGAUCAAUCUACUGAGCAAACAGCACUCUGCUUGCAGGGGACUUGUGCUGAGGCAGCUGCACCAUGAACUACAUACAGCAAAUGAUGAGCCCGAGGGCAGACAGCAGUAAGACUCCACCUCCCACCGCUGCGAUGAGGAUGACAGUCAAGUCUGUGAGCAGAGACAUAAAGAGACAGAUGAAGAGGCAGCUGGGGUGUUUCUGACUCAGCAAAAGUGGCCUUGAGUCUUGUUGUCCUCAGUUCCUGAAGCUAUCACUGUGUAUCAAGGGAGCCCAGGGGCAGCCCCACACUGCAUCCCUAGAGUAGGUCUGGUCUCAGCCUUGCUUCAGCAAAUGGACUGAAACUGGGAAAUAAGAAGUAACACACAUAGACACAUUUCUCUUCCUGCCUGCCCAGAAAACCACUACCUCAAAGCCUUCUCUCUCAAGCAGAUGCACUCUUAUCCUUUGAGGCUGCAGAUGCCAGGGACAUGCUUCCAUUGCAGCAUCAUCAAGAUGGCUUGGGAUCAAGAUGACUUGGGCGCACUAUCCUCCCUACCAGGCCCUGAGCAACACCAUCAUUUCUCAUUCCUAAUUCCCAGGAGAGCAUGGCACAGAGAGGUGCUCAGCAUCUUCCUGAGACUUAUAGAAGAAGCCAAGGAGCUGAGAGCAGCAGAGACAAGAAACAGAGGGAGAGUGAGAAAGUCCCGGGCCAUUCCGCAACUCAAGCAGGAGAAAAACCCAGGAGUGGGGUGGCGUAGGCGGGGCCACCACAAGGAGCCCGUGCAUCAGGGGGCGCAGGCUGUUUCUGGAUCAUUCCACUGGGAAGGGGACAAAACCCAUCUUUUAUGACCCAUGUUCAGUUCUCAGUUGGAGUCAGAUGAGGAAGAGAAUGCCCAGCAAGGUAAAAUGGCAGAGCUAAGAUGCAAACAAACUCAGGUCUGCAAUGCCCAAACCCCUGUUCCUUUCCCUCCUUGUAUCUGAAAACUCUUCUUGGCACCAGGGGAGGUGCAUCUGGGAGUGGCUGUGUCUGCCUGCAUGUUGAUGCUGGUGGCAUGCACGUGUGUGGGCCAGGAGGUGGGUCUGUGACAUCCUGGGUGAAAGGCAGUGGAGCGAGGGCUUCUCUGGCAUUGCUGAUGGCUACCUGAAUCUCCUGUUUCUCUGGGCCGGCUCUCUAGCAGCCAGGUGGGGACGCACAUCUCGAUCUGCCCUCAGGUGCUCUAAACCGAGGUGAAGGUUCACAAAGCCGCCAGAACAGCUGCUUUUUCCUUGCAGAUGCCUAUCUGGAGGGGGUGUCUCUUGGCGACAGGAAUGGCAUUUCCCACAGAGGUGUUGGUGGCGCUUAAAACCCCGUUUAGUCAGGCCACACAGGAAAUCUGCCCAAUGUUUUCUGAGCCUGGGCUGGAAGAGGCCUGCAAGGAAACCACAGGAACACACAAUUUUUGCUCAUAAUGCAAUUCAACAGAGAGUUCUUGAAGGCCUGUGUGGGCACAUCUCUGAGACACCAAGAUGGUAAAAUUCCAGGAUUCUCCCCACACCCAGGGAGGACAACCUAGCUGCCCCACUGUGCACUUUGGAGGCACAGCCCUCAUUAGAUUGCUGUGAGGAUUUGGAAGGUCAAGUUCCUGGCAUCUACAACCCAUGCUAAUUUCUUCUCUUCCUUACUUUAGAGCAUGAUAUUCAUUGCUAACUGACAAAGAAAUCAUUUUUAAAAUGUGAAACAUUUCUUCUUUCUUGUUUACCUCAUUGACUUGAAAAAAAAUCUUUACUCCAUGGCCCUGGUCAUUUGAAUAGAAAAAUGCAAAAAUCAUAAUGAUUUUAUAGAUUAUUAGAGCCACGCAAACAGCCAAUUUAGACAAUCCAGGGCAAAAUACAUUCUGAUAUCUUAAGCAUCCUCUUUUCUUACUUGUACAUGUUUCCCCUUCAAGUCACUCAGAAAAAUGAGAGGACUUGGCCUCUGUUUCAGUCUACCUGCUGGAAAAAUCCUCGAGGGAAGUGUCUUUGUGGUGGAUGUGGUCUGACUUGGCCUGGAAGAUGGGGAGGGAAAGCCUGAACACAAAACUGCAGGCCUGCGAGGGACUGGGGCCUUACCUGCCCCAAUCCCCUUGUUCUGUAGAGGAGGAGACGGAAGCUCAAGCUGCAGCCAAACAGCUCAUGCAUGGCAGGGCAGGGAACCCAGUCUAAGUCACGAUCCAUUCUGGAAGACCUUAACACUUUCCACUGACUGUGAGAGCUGCCGAAUACAUUUUGACCCAUGGGUGGUUCCUGUCCUUGGUGAUUCCCCGACCUCUGGUGAGAUCUUUUCCUCUCUGGCAAGCCUCUGGAUGUUCUGACUUCAGAGGGGUUCUGGCUGCAGCUUUAACUCAGCCAUAUGUUGUGACAGCUCUUGGAGCAGCAUUACACGGGAGCAAUAUCCUUCCUGCUAAUUGGAUCUCAGAAUUCAUUUUCGGACCAAAGACAUCAAAUAAACCCAGGAAAUACGAAGCCGUUUGCAGUUAUGACUUGAGACGAAUUGAGUUGUUCAUCCUCUAAAGUUGUGUUCUGUUCCUUAUCAGCCUCAUCUGAAAUCUCAGACACAAAAGCAGAGAUGUUUCUGCCAGGAGGGGCGGAAAGUUCGGUCUGGUUUUGAUAUGUGUCUGGAGAUGAUAAACUUGGGAAGGGAAAUAUAGCAGAUCCAAUCCUCCCUCCCCCAUCUCCAUUAGGUCUUUGGCCUUGAUAGAUUUCAAUAUCCUGUGCAGCUGAUGUCUGACCCACGCAUCAAGAAUACAGCCUUCACACACCUGCCGUGAGAAGCCCUCUAUGACCUUCUGCAGAGGGAGGGAACUGCCUAAGAGCUGCUGAGUGCAGGAAUGCAGGGUGCUAAGAAGCAGGUACCCAGUUUGGGGUUAAAAUAUGUAUAAUAUAUCCAUUUGAAUACCCAUCAAUAAAUAUCAGUCAUGCUCACUUUUGGGUGCUGGGGGUUAUUGGAGAUAUUGAUUCAUUUGUUUUAUGAGUGG
RNAcentral lists this long non-coding RNA (3274 nucleotides) under Homo sapiens (human). RNAcentral's name for it is "HSALNT0053847". The record is from RNAcentral. Lineage: Eukaryota; Metazoa; Chordata; Mammalia; Primates; Hominidae.